AAUUUUUGUAACUACUUGUGGUGCCAAGAUUUUGGGUGCCAACAUCUCACCAGUAAUGGGUUGACUGGUGGAAGAUUGGGAAACACCGGGAGUUUCAAGAGUACACUGUGGACCUUCUUCUGUUGUUUUUGCUUUUAUCAUAGUAGAUAAAUUAGAAAGCAUCAAUUCAAAGCUAUCUAACUUGUCCAGCUUUUGCCUGUGCUGCAAUAAUUCAUCCCACAUUCCAUUAAUUUUUCUAUCCUAUUACUCUCUUUCCAUAUUAAAUCGUUUAAAUGAUUCUUCCAAUGCGGACAUGCUCCUCUCUA
This 305-nucleotide unclassified non-coding RNA is filed under the name Hevea brasiliensis (rubber tree). The record is from RNAcentral. Lineage: Eukaryota; Viridiplantae; Streptophyta; Magnoliopsida; Malpighiales; Euphorbiaceae.